This 253-nucleotide ribosomal RNA is filed under the name uncultured bacterium. RNAcentral's name for it is "partial 16S ribosomal RNA". It matches the Rfam family "Bacterial small subunit ribosomal RNA", at positions 524 to 776 of the family's 1533-position model. The record is from RNAcentral.
UACGGGGGGGGCAAGCGUUGUUCGGAAUUACUGGGCGUAAAGCGCGCGUAGGCGGCUCUUCAAGUCGAGUGUGAAAGCUCCAGGCUUAACUUGGGAAUUGCGCUUGUGACUGGCGUGCUGGAGUGUGGCAGAGGGAGGUGGAAUUCCACGUGUAGCAGUGAAAUGCGUAGAGAUGUGGAGGAACACCGAUGGCGAAGGCAGCCUCCUGGGCCAGCACUGACGCUCAUGCACGAAAGCGUGGGGAGCAAACAGG